RNAcentral lists this long non-coding RNA (297 nucleotides) under Eucalyptus grandis. Its description in RNAcentral is "long non-coding RNA (EGRA_LNC003257)". Lineage: Eukaryota; Viridiplantae; Streptophyta; Magnoliopsida; Myrtales; Myrtaceae. The record is from RNAcentral.
CCGAAUCAAGCCACAGAUCGGGAACUGCUGUCACCGCUGGUCAGCUUCAGAUCUGAGCUCCCUGCACCUCUGAGCGAGAGAGAGAAAUUUGCCGACCGAACUUCCGAGGGAGAGAAAACAUAAAGAACUCGUCUCUGAUCCCCGAGUAAGAACCCGAUCCUCGCAAUCCCACACCGCCAGCCUUCGAUCUCCAAUCCUCGCUAAUGAGAGAAAACCCUAACCUUCAACUCACUCGAUGGAGAAACGCUGGAAACAAGGGCGGAAGCUUCCUCUGGUGGAAGGCGCGCGAGGCCGAGA